UAGGGAAUCUUCCACAAUGGACGAAAGUCUGAUGGAGCAACGCCGCGUGAGUGAAGAAGGGUUUUCGGCUCGUAAAACUCUGUUGUUAAAGAAGAACAUAUCUGAGAGUAACUGUUCAGGUAUUGACGGUAUUUAACCAGAAAGCCACGGCUAACUACGUGCCAG
RNAcentral lists this ribosomal RNA (165 nucleotides) under uncultured bacterium. RNAcentral describes it as "partial 16S ribosomal RNA". It matches the Rfam family "Bacterial small subunit ribosomal RNA", at positions 355 to 511 of the family's 1533-position model. The record is from RNAcentral.